Amphiprion ocellaris (clown anemonefish) is the source of this 5078-nucleotide RNA transcript. It is a transcript of the gene named DNA-directed RNA polymerase III subunit RPC1-like, with no coding region annotated. The transcript is spliced from 7 exons. The record is from RefSeq and is a predicted model, not a curated record. NCBI's taxonomy places the organism in Eukaryota, Metazoa, Chordata, Actinopteri, Pomacentridae.
CCCGAGCAGUUGGUACGUUCCACUCAGACACGCCUGACGGGAUCAAACCACCAACACACACGCCACAGAGCUCCACUUUAUGUAACCUGCGCCUCGUUUUAUUGCUCUUUUCAUGGUUUCUUCAUCUUUGAAUGAAUAUUUUUGGCACUAAGUGUGAACUUUUUGAACGGACUCUGCUCGUCAGAUGGAGGAACGUCGGGGAGUUUGUUGGAAGAUUCAGGUUGAGAGGACUUUGGGUAUUGAGGCUGCAAGAUCCACCAUCAUCAGUGAGAUUCAGUACACCAUGGUCAACCACGGAAUGAGCAUCGACCGGCGUCACGUCAUGCUUCUUGCUGAUCUUAUGUCCUAUAAGGACCAGACCUGCUGGGAUCUGUACAGAUGUCUCGAUGAGGGUGGGAGUGGUUUCAGUAAAGGAGAGCUGGAUCAGUCUACAAACACAUUGUUGUAACCAGUGUGGGAAAUCUUUCAGGCAGUCAAGUUAUUUGAAACGUCAUAUGCUCAUCCACACGGAAGAAAUUAGUUUUUUACUGUGAUAUUUCCUCAUGUUUGACAAAGUGGUUAUUAUCUUAACUGUGAAAUAAAAGCCCUCCUUAAACAUUAUUUAAUCUAGUCUCUUUUUCAAAAGAGGCCUGAGAACAACAGACAUUCCAAUAAACUACCCUUAGUUAGUAAACUGAAACUAAAUAUUAACUAUAUAUAUAUAAACUAUUGUAACCAAAACCUCCACUGCCAUAUUAGAACAGGAUAUGCUUUUAUUUCUAAAACAUUGCCAAUGAUUUUGACAAAUCAUUCUGUGGUUUUAUUUGAGAAAGUUGUUGCCCCAGCAUUGUCCUACAGGGGGCAGUUGUUUUAAAACUACAUUUGUCUUCCAUGUGUCACCAUUUGCUUGCAUAUUUCAUAAACAUCACAAUCACUAAUUUCCAACUCUAUACUGAUGAUAUUUUCCUGGUUUUCUUAGCUGGCAGGAGAUGAAUUUUUGCAUCCCUACCCUGAUUGUCAUUAUCGAGGCUCGCUUUUUUCCCUAACAUUCUCCCACAACGGGAGUGUUUGACCUUUAAAGUCACGGUUUCUUCUACUGACCGGCACCUUUGUGAUUAAUCCUUGCAGCUCUACUGCAUGAUCUACUGUUUGCUUUACCCCGUUAGUCAUUCUCUAAUAACACUGCAGUUUCUGCUGCUGCCGGUUUUCAACAAAUUCCAGGAGAAGAACAUACAUUACUCCCAUUCACGUCUCCCUGUGAUUUACUAUUGAUUUAGCUGAUUUAGCUUUAAAGCACAGCAUGCUCCCCUUCUGUCUUCCGUCAGGCUCUGCUAAGCCUCCUGCUGCUGAAGCUUCUUACCUGAGCAUUGGUUUGGAAAAAUAAGUAAAUAAAGUCCAAGGACUCACCUAUGUGGGCCCCUCAAAAUUUUUCAUUAUCACUCCCUGUUUUGCCUCUACAAUUUUUUUGUCAUGUUUUUUAACGGUUUAUUCAGUGUUAUUGUAUAACUUUGUUUUUCAAAGCGGUGUCAAUGUUUUAAAGCUUUAUACCCAUGGGAGAUGACUUUUAAUGUGUUUUUCAUCCCACCAAAUAGAGGUGGGAUAUUUGUAUGCAUUGCACUUAUCAGCCAGGAAUAGAGCUAAAGAUGAAAUAACCCAGGUUUGACUCCUCUGUCAGUAAAAAGUAUUUUUCUGUACAAACUGUCUCUUUUUUUUUUUUUUUUUUUUUAAAGUUAUUUUUUUGGCCUUUUUAUCGGAUAGGUGCAGUGAGAGAGAGACAGGAAAUGGGAGAAGAGUCAGGGAAGACAUGCAACAAAGGGCCGCGAGCGGGAAUCGAACCCGGGCCAGCUGCGUCGGGGACCAGCGCCUGUAUAUGGGUUGCCCGCUCAACGCGUUGCGCUAUACGAGCGCCCUCGAGCUGUCUCUUAAUGUUAAAUGAAUGCAUUUAAAUUGCAUAUGAACUGUUCCAUCAGUCGCUUUGGUUUGACAUCAAACAAACAGUUUAUUGGCAUUUCAAAAUGAAUGCAUCCCCUUCCAUUUGACAAACAAAGGAAGUUUUUCUCUCAGCAAAAUAUAGGCUUUGUUAUUAUAAUAAUAAUAAUAAUAAUAAUAAUAAUAAUAAUAAUAAUAAUAAUAAUAAUAAUAAUAAUGAUCAACCCAAGAGCUGAAUAACAGGUGGAGAAGGAUUUAACAAUGCAGAAAAAUCUACAAAAAGAAACAAAAACAAAAAAACCAAGGAGGACAAGCACAAAUUCUUUGGACUUGCUUGGUAACCAACUACAGAGCAGGUGGUGGGAUAGUAGGCUGAAGCCUGGAGGCUGAAAUCACCAAAAUGUGGGCAGAAAAAAACACAUGCGCUGAAAGCUAUCCAGACCUUGUGACGGGGACAUACUUAACGUAAUUCAAAAAACUAACAAAAACAAGGAGUGAGCUAGAAUAACAGAAAUGUUAGCAUGCUAUUCUAAUGUAGCAAGCUACAGGACCGAUUCAGGGCAUUAACUUACUGUUUACAUGCUGCCAACAACAUGGACUGCACUCACAUUUUGCUGAAUGAUUUUGUGGAGGUCGAUCAGAACAAUUUGAUGCCUCAUCUCAUUUCCCAGUUUGUACGUCCGCAAUCUGAGGAGUCAAGGCAACAGGCAUUUCAUUUAAAUGAGACAUCUUUGCCCUGGAGCUGUUGUUUUAAUGUGGCAUCAGUUAAACACAACGCAGCUGCAUCAUCUGUCUAUUGUUUUGCUAUAAUAUACCCCUGUUAUACAUUAUACUAUUUUAAGAUCCCUGUCAGGAGCAGAAAAGUGUUCAUGAUAACUUACAAUACAUACUUACUCAUAAUUCAAUUCACAAUGUGGCAACAUGUAACAAGAACGUACAGAUGAUAUCCUUUCAUUAUUUAGCAAACACUGGCGGUGAAGGAUAAAAGGCACAACAUACAAAAGAGUACUAUACAAACAAAGAGUGACAAGUAUUCUGGUGAGAUGAGCCUAGAGCCAGAAGUAGUGUGCAUGAUAACUGUCUUCCAUUCAGUUAAGUGUUGGGUUGAAUAUGAAAAGGCUGUUGUAGGAGUAUGUUUUGUUCAGCUUAUUAAAACUCAUCUUGGUCAAACACACAUACAGCUCUCAGGCUUUUCUGCCUAUUUCUUGCAUUGUUUUAACUCCUGAUUCCAUUUGAAUAUAAAGAUAACAGCACGAUCUCUAGGUUUAAACUAAUCUACACUGAUUCUUUUUUUUUUUUUUUUUUUUAAAGGCUUUUUGCUGUCUAAAACGGGGAGGAAGUAGCUCAAGGGACAUUCAGAUUUGUUAAUGAAGAGUUAUUGGAGUCUUAAUUCAUUCUGUUUUGUUAAUGAAAUGAGUAAGAAACCACAUUUUCAGAGAUUUGAGAACUGAUAGGACUGAUUAUAGAGUUGAAUCUGUGAAAUCAAAUCUUUCAAUACUCAGCCUUGUUUUAUCAUCCUGUUUAAUAAAGCUUUAAGUCUGUUGUUUUUAGACUUUCAUAGUAAAUGACUCCUUAAGUGUUUCACCUUUUUCUCCUGCUGGUUUUUUUUCUUCUUUGCAUUUAGCCACACUUUAAUCUGUGAUUAAAACUUUCUACUGUGUCUCUCUGCUUCCUGACUGUUCCACCUGCCUGCAGUCUGAUUGCAGCAAUGAGAAUCAGCUGCCGUAAUUGGCUCACACCAGUCGCCUGUUUGCAAUUCCACCUCCCAGCAUAUAAGCCAGCUCUGUCAUUCCCUCCCUGCUCCACCACGGAGUCGCAUAUCCUGCGUCAGCUCAUGACCACCAGAGCUUCUUGGACACGACUCUGCCCUCGUAGCCCUGCCAGUUCCUGUAUGGGUUUCCUACCUACCCCUUCAGCUGAGUUUCUUCCCGUUCCCUUCCUCCCUGACCGUUCCACCUGCCUGCGGUCUGAUUGCAGCAAUGAGAAUCAGCUGCCGUAAUUGGCUCACACCAGUCGCCUGUUUGCAAUUCCACCUCCCAGCAUAUAAGCCAGCUCUGUCAUUCACUCCCUGCUCCACCAUGGACUUGCAUAUCCUGCGUCAGCUCAUGACCACCAGAGCUUCUUGGACACGACUCUGCCCUCGUAGCCCUGCCAGUUCCUGUAUGGGUUUCCUACCUACCCCUUCAGCUGAGUUUCUUCCCGUUCCCUUCCUCCCUGACUGUUCCACCUGCCUGCGGUCUGAUUGCAGCAAUGAGAAUCAGCUGCCGUAAUUGGCUCACACCAGUCGCCUGUUUGCAAUUCCACCUCCCAGCAUAUAAGCCAGCUCUGUCAUUCACUCUCUGCUCCACCAUGGACUUGCAUAUCCUGCAUCAACUCAUGACCACCAGAGCUUCUUGGACACGAUGCUGCCCUUGUACCCCUGCCAGUUCUUGUUUGGGUUUCCUACCUACCCCUUCAGCUGAGUUUCUUCCUGUGACCAUGUGCUACAAAGCAUUACCGGGUAACAAAUACACCUGAUGAAGAUCAGAAAUAUUCAAGCAGAAACCUUCAGCUUCCACGAAGGUGGAAAUCAUUCUGCCAUGAAGACCUAACAACCUUCAAAGACAAUUUGAAAAUGGGAAGAAGUGCUGCGUCACUCUGCGAAGCGCUGCGUCACUCUGCGAAGCGCUGCUCAACUCAACUCAACUCAACUCAACUCAACUCAACUCAACUCAACUCAACUCAACUCAACUCAACUCAACUCAACUCAACUCAACUCAACUCAACUCAACUCAACUCAACUCAACUCAACUCAACUCAACUCAACUCAACUCAACUCAACUCAACUCAACUCAACUCAACUCAACUCAACUCAACUCAACUCAACUCAACUCAACUCAACUCAGACCGACAAAUUCUUCAAUGGAAACUCAGUGGUAAACUAAGAAUCACUAGACAAGGAGCGCCUGUAUAGCUCAGCAUGUUAAGUGACUGACCCGUGUACGGGGGCUGGUUGCAGCUGGCCCAGGUUCGAUUCCCGCUUGUGGCCAUUUGCUACAUGUAUUCUCCCCGUGUCCUGUCUCUCACUGCAACUGUCUGAUAAAAAAAAGGCCAACAAAAACAUUUUUCAAAAAGAAUUGCUAGACAAACCAUCAAUACCACUGCCUUUCCAUGUUAAAACUUGCCACAGU